CCUACGGGAGGCAGCAGUGAGGAAUAUUGGUCAAUGGACGAGAGUCUGAACCAGCCAAGUCGCGUGAAGGAUGACUGCCCUAUGGGUUGUAAACUUCUUUUAUAUGGGAAUAAAAUGUUCCACGUGUGGGAGUUUGUAUGUACCAUAUGAAUAAGGAUCGGCUAACUCCGUGCCAGCAGCCGCGGUAAUACGGAGGAUCCGAGCGUUAUCCGGAUUUAUUGGGUUUAAAGGGAGCGUAGGUGGAUUGUUAAGUCAGUUGUGAAAGUUUGCGGCUCAACCGUAAAAUUGCAGUUGAAACUGGCAGUCUUGAGUACAGUAGGGGUGGGCGGAAUGCGUGGUGUAGCGGUGAAAUGCUUAGAUAUCACGAAGAACUCCGAUUGCGAAGGCAGCUCACUGGACUGCAACUGACACUGAGGCUCGAAAGUGUGGGUAUCAAACAGGAUUAGAUACCCCAGUAGUC
This 460-nucleotide ribosomal RNA is filed under the name uncultured bacterium. Its description in RNAcentral is "partial 16S ribosomal RNA". It matches the Rfam family "Bacterial small subunit ribosomal RNA", at positions 338 to 795 of the family's 1533-position model. The record is from RNAcentral.